RNAcentral lists this ribosomal RNA (497 nucleotides) under uncultured bacterium. RNAcentral's name for it is "bacterial SSU rRNA". It matches the Rfam family "Bacterial small subunit ribosomal RNA", at positions 29 to 526 of the family's 1533-position model. The record is from RNAcentral.
AUUGAACGCUGGCGGUAUGCCUUACACAUGCAAGUCGAACGGUAGAGGGGCAACCCUUGAGAGUGGCGAACGGGUGAGUAAUACAUCGGAACGUGCCCAGUCGUGGGGGAUAACGUAGCGAAAGCUACGCUAAUACCGCAUACGACCUGAGGGUGAAAGCGGGGGAUCGCAAGACCUCGCGCGAUUGGAGCGGCCGAUGGCAGAUUAGGUAGUUGGUGGGGUAAAGGCCUACCAAGCCUGCGAUCUGUAGCUGGUCUGAGAGGACGACCAGCCACACUGGGACUGAGACACGGCCCAGACUCCUACGGGAGGCAGCAGUGGGGAAUUUUGGACAAUGGGCGAAAGCCUGAUCCAGCCAUACCGCGUGCGGGAAGAAGGCCUUCGGGUUGUAAACCGCUUUUGUCAGGGAAGAAAUCUUCUGGGCUAAUACCUCGGGAGGAUGACGGUACCUGAAGAAUAAGCACCGGCUAACUACGUGCCAGCCGCCGCCGUAACAC